AUUAAACGCUGGCGGCAUGCCUUACACAUGCAAGUCGAACGGCAGCACGGGGGCGAACCCUGGUGGCGAGUGGCGAACGGGUGAGUAAAGCAUCGGAACGUGCCCUGGAGUGGGGGAUAACGUAGCGAAAGUUACGCUAAUACCGCAUAUUCUGUGAGCAGGAAAGCAGGGGAUCGCAAGACCUUGCGCUCUGGGAGCGGCCGAUGUCGGAUUAGCUAGUUGGUGGGGUAAAGGCCUACCAAGGCGACGAUCCGUAGCGGGUCUGAGAGGAUGAUCCGCCACACUGGGACUGAGACACGGCCCAGACUCCUACGGGAGGCAGCAGUGGGGAAUUUUGGACAAUGGGCGAAAGUCUGAUGGAGCAAUACCGCGUGCAGGACGACGCUUUUCGGAGUGUAAACUGCUUUUGUCGUCGAAGAUUAUGACUGUAGACGAAGAAUAAGGACCGGCUAACUACGUGCCAGCAGCCGCGGUAAU
RNAcentral lists this ribosomal RNA (477 nucleotides) under uncultured bacterium. RNAcentral describes it as "bacterial SSU rRNA". It matches the Rfam family "Bacterial small subunit ribosomal RNA", at positions 30 to 524 of the family's 1533-position model. The record is from RNAcentral.